AUGUCUCUAUCCGAUGAGAAUAACGCAAACUUUUCAGAUGAUAGCUGUGACCACUUAUAUCACCCGAAAGUAAUCAUGAGCACCGUUCCCACCACUUCACCUACCACCACUGCUCCUGUUUCCUCCAGUAUUCAACACUUCAUAGAAGUAAACAUACCCUCUUUCACAUUCUCUACAUCUUCCCAAAGCGUAACCUCACCUAUCUUUUCAUCCACCGAAACCCACAAACCUAGCCCAUCCAAUCUCAACCACCAAAUACUAACAUACACAACGUCCACGACCAAACCCAUAAUGACCUCACAACCCCUUUCUAUUCUUACACCUCUAGCUACACCAAACCAAAACACCCAAUUCAAAAACCCCAAAAUUACACCACCAUCAUUUUCUGGCUCAGAAAAUGUGACAGACUAUUUCAUCAAUCUAGAGUCUGCAAUCAUCGUAAACGGUUGGAAUUGUGAGCUCGUACCCUUCUUCAUCGACAAGCAUCUAACCAAAGAAGCUUUAUCAUUCUUCCAAUAUCUCAAAAAAACCUUCACACCCCUAACUUACACAACCUUCAAACAAAAAUUCAUAGACCAAUUCACUAGUCAAAACCUAACAUAUCAAUACCAAAUUCAAUUAGAUGCAUUAACAAUGAGUGAAAAGUCCUUGAUGGAUUACGUCUUCCAAGUCAAAACCCUUUGUCACAAUUUAAAACUACCUGACAACUUCAUAAUCUUUCACAUCCUGAAAGGUCUACCACCACAAAUCAAAAGCUUGCUUACGCUAUAUCCACACGACACUCUAGACCAACUAGAUGACUCCCUAAGAAAAUUUAACUUACGCACUUCGGAAUUAUCCACUGAAACCCCCGUAGCAAAAACGACUGAAACCAGAGUCGCAGAACUAAUACAGAGAAUAGAGCUACAAGAACAACAAAUCAAUGCCUUAAAGUCAUCAAAUACUUCCAACUUCAAAAAGCACAAACGUUACAAUAACUCUUCGAAGCCAUCUAAUGAACAGCGCCCAGACUCGUCCCAACACAACUCCAAAAGCCCAUCACAGACUGAGUCCUCAAACCAAUGUCCUAUCUGCGAUGGCAAACAUAGCAAAGUGGACUGCAAUAUACAAUUCUGCAGAUACUGUAAAUCCUUAGGUCAUACAAUCACCACAUGUCCAGAUCCUAAAUGUAAAAUAUCCAAAAACAAUUCAAAUUUAGCGUAA
Molecule: long non-coding RNA, 1203 nt
Filed under: Bemisia tabaci
Lineage: Eukaryota; Metazoa; Arthropoda; Insecta; Hemiptera; Aleyrodidae
Description: lncRNA ENSSSA1NGG014605
Source: RNAcentral